UCCCUGGUGGCUCAGAUGGUAAAGUGUCUACCUGUAAUGUGGGAGAUCUGGGUUUGAUCCCCGGGUUGGGAA
This is a transfer RNA of Ovis aries (sheep), 72 nucleotides long. It matches the Rfam family "tRNA". From Rfam's summary of the family: Transfer RNA (tRNA) molecules are approximately 80 nucleotides in length. Lineage: Eukaryota; Metazoa; Chordata; Mammalia; Artiodactyla; Bovidae. The record is from Rfam.